RNAcentral lists this ribosomal RNA (402 nucleotides) under uncultured prokaryote. RNAcentral's name for it is "bacterial SSU rRNA". It matches the Rfam family "Bacterial small subunit ribosomal RNA", at positions 355 to 774 of the family's 1533-position model. The record is from RNAcentral.
UAGGGAAUAUUAGAAAUGGACGAAAGUCUGAUCUAGCAACACCGCGUGUGCGAAGAAGGCCUUCGGGUUGUAAAGCACUUUUUGGAAGGAUUAGGAAGGAAUGUACUUCCAGAAUAAGUCUCGGCUAACUACGUGCCAGCAGCCGCGGUAACACGUAGGAGGCAAACGUUAUCCGGAUUUACUGGGCGUAAAGCGCGUGUAGGUGGUUCUGUAAGUAGGGCGUGAAAGCUCCUGGCUCAACUGGGAGAGGCCGUUCUAAACUGCAGAGCUAGAGGAUGGUAGAGGGAGGUGGAAUUCCGGGUGUAGCGGUGGAAUGCGCAGAUAUCCGGAGGAACACCAGUGGCGAAGGCGUCUCACCAGAACGGACCUGACGGCAAGGGACGAAAGCUAGGGGCACGAACC